This 553-nucleotide ribosomal RNA is filed under the name uncultured Lachnospiraceae bacterium. Its description in RNAcentral is "bacterial SSU rRNA". It matches the Rfam family "Bacterial small subunit ribosomal RNA", at positions 69 to 634 of the family's 1533-position model. The record is from RNAcentral. Lineage: Bacteria; Bacillati; Bacillota; Clostridia; Lachnospirales; Lachnospiraceae.
AUUUUCUUCGGAACUGAAGAUUUGGUGAUUGAGUGGCGGACGGGUGAGUAACGCGUGGGUAACCUACCCUGUACAGGGGGAUAACAGUCAGAAAUGACUGCUAAUACCGCAUAAGACCACAGCACCGCAUGGUGCAGGGGCAAAAACUCCGGUGGUACAGGAUGGACCCGCGUCUGAUUAGCUGGUUGGUGAGGUAACGGCUCACCAAGGCGACGAUCAGUAGCCGGCUUGAGAGAGUGAACGGCCACAUUGGGACUGAGACACGGCCCAAACUCCUACGGGAGGCAGCAGUGGGGAAUAUUGCACAAUGGGGGAAACCCUGAUGCAGCGACGCCGCGUGAGUGAAGAAGUAUCUCGGUAUGUAAAGCUCUAUCAGCAGGGAAGAAAAUGACGGUACCUGACUAAGAAGCACCGGCUAAAUACGUGCCAGCAGCCGCGGUAAUACGUAUGGUGCAAGCGUUAUCCGGAUUUACUGGGUGUAAGGGGAGCGUAGACGGCUGUGUAAGUCUGAAGUGAAAGCCCGGGGCUCAACCCCGGGACUGCUUUGGAAACU